This 675-nucleotide ribosomal RNA is filed under the name Citrobacter freundii. RNAcentral describes it as "bacterial SSU rRNA". It matches the Rfam family "Bacterial small subunit ribosomal RNA", at positions 214 to 881 of the family's 1533-position model. Lineage: Bacteria; Pseudomonadati; Pseudomonadota; Gammaproteobacteria; Enterobacterales; Enterobacteriaceae. The record is from RNAcentral.
CUUGCCAUCGGAUGUGCCCAGAUGGGAUUAGCUAGUAGGUGGGGUAACGGCUCACCUAGGCGACGAUCCCUAGCUGGUCUGAGAGGAUGACCAGCCACACUGGAACUGAGACACGGUCCAGACUCCUACGGGAGGCAGCAGUGGGGAAUAUUGCACAAUGGGCGCAAGCCUGAUGCAGCCAUGCCGCGUGUAUGAAGAAAGCCUUCGGGUUGUAAAGUACUUUCAGCGAGGAGGAAGGCGUUGUGGUUAAUAACCACAGCGAUUGACGUUACUCGCAGAAGAAGCACCGGCUAACUCCGUGCCAGCAGCCGCGGUAAUACGGAGGGUGCAAGCGUUAAUCGGAAUUACUGGGCGUAAAGCGCACGCAGGCGGUCUGUCAAGUCGGAUGUGAAAUCCCCGGGCUCAACCUGGGAACUGCAUCCGAAACUGGCAGGCUAGAGUCUUGUAGAGGGGGGUAGAAUUCCAGGUGUAGCGGUGAAAUGCGUAUAGAUCUGGAGGAAUACCGGUGGCGAAAGCGGCCCCCUGGACAAAGACUGACGCUCAGGUGCGAAAGCGUGUGGAGCAAACAGGAUUAGAUACCCUGGUAGUCCACGCCGUAAACGAUGUCUACUUGUAGGUUGUGCCCUUGAGGCGUGGCUUCCGGAGCUAACACGUUAAGUCGACCGCCUGGGGAGU